GGGGGAAUUUUGGACAAUGGGCGCAAGCCUGAUCCAGCCAUGCCGCGUGCGGGAAGAAGGCCUUCGGGUUGUAAACCGCUUUUGUCAGGGAAGAAAUCCUUUGGGCUAAUACCCCGGGGGGAUGACGGUACCUGAAGAAUAAGCACCGGCUAACUCCGUGCCAGCAGCCGCGGUAAUACGUAGGGUGCAAGCGUUAAUCGGAAUUACUGGGCGUAAAGCGUGCGCAGGCGGUUAUGCAAGACAGAUGUGAAAUCCCCGGGCUCAACCUGGGAACUGCAUUUGUGACUGCAUAGCUAGAGUGCGGCAGAGGGGGAUGGAAUUCCGCGUGUAGCAGUGAAAUGCGUAGAUAUGCGGAGGAACACCGAUGGCGAAGGCAAUCCCCUGGGCCUGCACUGACGCUCAUGCACGAAAGCGUGGGGAGCAAACAGGAUUAGAUACCCUGGUAGUCCACGCCCUAAACGAUGUCAACUGGUUGUUGGGAAGGUUCCUUCUCAGUAACGUAGCUAACGCGUGAAGUUGACCGCCUGGGGAGUACGGCCGCAAGGUUG
This 548-nucleotide ribosomal RNA is filed under the name uncultured bacterium. RNAcentral's name for it is "bacterial SSU rRNA". It matches the Rfam family "Bacterial small subunit ribosomal RNA", at positions 355 to 896 of the family's 1533-position model. The record is from RNAcentral.